UUUGUACAUGGCUUGUGUUUGGUUGACUUGAUGUGAUGACUUGGAUUACUGGGGCAAAGGAACAAUGGUUACCGUCAGCUCAGAAUCCCCAAAGGCCCCUUCUCUUUUCCCACUCAUCCCAUCUGUGGACAACUUAGAGACCAAAGACAUAACCAUCGGAUGUCUCGCCAAGAAUUUCCUGCCAAAUUCAAUUGAAUUCUCCUGGAAUAACCCAAGCAACCAGAGUAUCAGCGAAGAGAACUACGUGAAAUUCCCAUCUAUCUUGUCGGGUGGGACAUACACAGCCGCUUCUCAGGCUAAAGUCGAUCCGGCUUUAUGGAAUGCUUUCAAACCGUACUAUUGCAAAGCCAAGCACCCACAGGGCAACACAGAGAUCUCAGUUGUUCAACAAUAUGGGGGAUCAUCUUCAAGAGAGCCUUUGAUGCUUAUCCGGGCACCAACGCUGGCUUCCUUUUCAAGUAUCUACCUAAAUUCCACGGUUACCUGUGAAGUUAGCGACCUCUGCUCUGGAAAUGUCGUCCUCUCUUGGCUUAAGGAUCAACGAGAGAUCACCACUGGCAUCACCACCUCCAAACCAGUCCCGAAUGGUCAUGGCAGCUACACCGUUUGGAGCAGACUUGUCAUCACCAAGGAAGACUGGGUUUCUGAAAAGAAGUUCACCUGUAAAGUGAAAAGCCAGGGGUUCGAUCAUGAAGAGACAUUCAGCUUGCCAUCUUUCUGCAAACGUGAAGGCUGUGAACCUGUUACCGUGGAAACCAUCCCCCCAACUUUUGCUGACAUGUUCCUGACCAACUCAGCCAACCUGACUUGCAGAAUCUCCAACAUCCCUGUCACUGCAGAGUAUUCCAAGUUGAACGUCACCUGGACCCGAGCAUCGGACCAGAAGCAACUCCCCACUGUGAUGACCGACUUCCUAGAUCAGGAAAAUGAAUUUUACUAUGUCGACGCUAUAGCCACAGUGUGUGCAACAGAAUGGGAUGAGAAGGAAACCUUUACCUGCAAAGUGACCUUUGAGAACGUACUUGUCAAGCCAGUAGAAAAAACCUUGGAGAAGAAGACUGUCGGCGAACCAAAAGCUCCCUCUGUCUACAUCCUUUCGCCUUCCUUAGAAGAGCUGAAUUUGCGGGAAAAAGUGACCCUCACAUGCCUCAUUAAGAACUUUAAUCCCGGCAACUUCUUUGUGCGAUGGCUCCAGAACGAACAGGCGGUCAGCGAAUCAGAAUACUUCACCAGCAAAGCCGUAGCAGAGUCCAAAAUACAGUCCAAUGAAUAUUUUGCCUACAGCAUGUUGAACGUCAAUGAACAGGAAUGGAGCGCAGGAGAUUCCUUCACUUGUGUGGUGGGACAUGAAGCCUUGCCCUAUGGCUCCAUUCAGAAGACUAUCAAUAAGAACACGGGUUACGUAGAUGGAAUUGUGGACACGGAGGAUGAAGAAGAAUACCAAAACAUCUCGUCGAUCCUUUCCACUUUCAUCAUUCUUUUCCUAGUGAGCCUCUUCUACAGUGCCACGGUGACAGUCAUUAAGGUGAAAUGAAAAAGAGAGAUGCUGUUCUUCUACAUCUACUUCUGUAAAAGGAGAAAGGAUUUAUUUGAGAAGAGCUGGAAUUUUUUUUACUUUGCUUUGUAUCAUAGCCUUAAGAGUCCAUGUGAGCGGAAACCGCCUGGUUGUUUACAGUUUAGCUCCAUGGUGAAAUGUUGCUUUUACUCUGUUGCGUCAUUUUCUGUGUGACGUAUAUCUUUGUGGAUACUUCUCUGUGUCUCAGUUAUAGUCAUUGUUUAAUCAUUGUUAUGAUUAUGAUUAUUUUUUGUCAGAAUGGUCUACCUGAUCUGAUACUCUAAAGGGGACUUAGAGCACUUUUAAUCUUCAUGUAAAACAGACGAGAUUCGCUGCACAAUUCGUAUUAAUUCGAAUGUACUUUUUUUUAUAUUGAGAUUGUCAUACAAUGUUGCAAUAAAUAUCUAUUCUUGAUGAAUGAA
This is a non-coding RNA of Pantherophis guttatus, 1977 nucleotides long. Lineage: Eukaryota; Metazoa; Chordata; Lepidosauria; Squamata; Colubridae. The record is from the annotation of a RefSeq genome assembly.